GGUGGGUAUAGCUCAGUGGUAGAGUGUGUGCUUAGCAUGCACAAGGUCCUGGGUUCAAUCCCCAGUGCCUCCA
This 73-nucleotide transfer RNA is filed under the name Vicugna pacos (alpaca). RNAcentral describes it as "tRNA-Ala (AGC) (tRNA-Ala-AGC-118-1)". It matches the Rfam family "tRNA". Rfam says of the family: Transfer RNA (tRNA) molecules are approximately 80 nucleotides in length. Their secondary structure includes four short double-helical elements and three loops (D, anti-codon, and T loops). Lineage: Eukaryota; Metazoa; Chordata; Mammalia; Artiodactyla; Camelidae. The record is from RNAcentral.